Molecule: unclassified non-coding RNA, 582 nt
Filed under: Hevea brasiliensis (rubber tree)
Lineage: Eukaryota; Viridiplantae; Streptophyta; Magnoliopsida; Malpighiales; Euphorbiaceae
Source: RNAcentral
AAUACCUUACAAGCUAAAACAAGAAUAUAAUCUACAAAUUAUCUUCAACUAUACACAAUGCAAAGACUAAUAUUAUUGUUGUGAUACAAACUAAAAAGAAAAUAACCCCAAUUUUCUGUAAAAUGACAGCGCUCACACCUCUUCUAGAACGCACUGUGUUAUAGAUGGAGAAAAUGUAAUCUCAAUCCCGAAUCCCAAGCUCAACCUCAAGAUCAUCAUCUUCUUCAAAGAGCUUUAGGAGACGAGCUUGCUGCUCUUCCCUUUUCUUCUUCUGCCAUAUCUUGAAAAGGACAUAACAAAAUCCAACAGAAGCUAAAAUUCCAAGGCACACUAUCACUACUCUCACUCCGGUGGAAAUUCUGGAUGAAUGACUUUUCCCUUUACUUUCAUUUGAUGUUGAUGAGGAAUCUGCCGAACCUUUAUAAACACCACGAAGGAUGACUCAGCAUGUUAACCAUUAAUAGAGAUCAGAUAACAAUUUCUCAUUAGGGGUGGCAACGGGGUGGGGGCGGGGCAGGUAUAGUCAAACCCACAAAAUUCUCAACCCCCCCCCCCAUAUCAUUUUUUUUCUUUUUUAACCGG